AUUGAACGCUGGCGGCAUGCCUUACACAUGCAAGUCGAACGGUAACAGGUUAAGCUGACGAGUGGCGAACGGGUGAGUAAUAUAUCGGAACGUGCCCAGUCGUGGGGGAUAACGUAGCGAAAGCUACGCUAAUACCGCAUACGAUCUACGGAUGAAAGCGGGGGAUCGCAAGACCUCGCGCGAUUGGAGCGGCCGAUAUCAGAUUAGGUUGUUGGUGAGGUAAAAGCUCACCAAGCCUGCGAUCUGUAGCUGGUCUGAGAGGACGACCAGCCACACUGGAACUGAGACACGGUCCAGACUCCUACGGGAGGCAGCAGUGGGGAAUUUUGGACAAUGGACGCAAGUCUGAUCCAGCAAUGCCGCGUGCAGGACGAAGGCCUUCGGGUUGUAAACUGCUUUUGUACGGAACGAAACGGUGAGCUCUAAUACAGUUUGCUAAUGACGGUACCGUAAGAAUAAGCACCGGCUAACUACGUGCCAGCCGCCGCCGUAA
Molecule: ribosomal RNA, 493 nt
Filed under: uncultured bacterium
Lineage: Bacteria
Description: partial 16S ribosomal RNA
Rfam family: Bacterial small subunit ribosomal RNA
Source: RNAcentral